UACGGAGGGGGCUAGCGUUGUUCGGAAUUACUGGGCGUAAAGCGCGCGUAGGCGGACCUGCAAGUCGGGGGUGAAAGCCCGAGGCUCAACCUCGGAACUGCCUUCGAUACUGCGGGUCUCGAGUCCGGGAGAGGUGAGUGGAAUUCCUAGUGUAGAGGUGAAAUUCGUAGAUAUCGGGAGGAACACCGGUGGCGAAGGCGGCGAUCUGGGUCGAGACUGACGCUGAGGUGUGAAAGCGUGGGGAGCAAACAGG
This 253-nucleotide ribosomal RNA is filed under the name uncultured bacterium. Its description in RNAcentral is "partial 16S ribosomal RNA". It matches the Rfam family "Bacterial small subunit ribosomal RNA", at positions 524 to 776 of the family's 1533-position model. The record is from RNAcentral.